UUUAGCCCCUAGCCACGUUACAAGCUUAAUAAAGUCCACGCAGAUUGGAUAAUGUUUGCUAAAAUUUUCAUAAAGCUUAAUUUUGCGAUAAGGGGAAAUGACUUUCACAGUGUCGUAAAAGGGAAAAAGAAUUUGAAAAAAAAAGGAGAAAAAGGUAAUGUCUCAGGAAUAGGGGAUCUUCUUACCAUCUAACCAAAAGCAUGCAAAAGAAAAUCAAACCAGUUGGGGCCAUCCUUUUAGCCUAUCCUUUUCAUGCCCACCACUUCUUCCAAAUAGAACCUUAUGCCAAAAAAAACUGGGGUAACAUUGUGGAUUUCACCACGCAUCUUCGCCCUGAAAUUCAUCAACCUGUAACCUCAAGACUAGGGCAGCUUUGCAAAUCUCAUUUGAAAUUUUCACCCUAAUUGUCAUGGAUUCAAACUUCAGCUCAUUUUCCCAAAUGCUAAACCGGGGCAAAGUUUUUGGUAUAUCGUGUUUUGUCUUGGCACUCACAUAUUACAUCUCCUUUGAGGAUUGUAGUGCCCACCUGACUAUCCAAUCCCCUUCUAAACCCUUAUAAACAUCUCUCAUUUUUCCCUUGCCUAAAUUCAAGCAUGUGUGCACUAAUGUCAAAAAAAAAAAAAAAAGAAAGAAAAGAAAAGAAAAAGGUCAGAAAAAGUCAAACAUAUAAUCAUAUCUAGCAUGAGACCUCGGAUAUAUGACAUUCCUCAAUUUUCACAAAAAAAAAAAAAACAGUUUGAUGAUUGCAAC
RNAcentral lists this long non-coding RNA (750 nucleotides) under Vigna radiata. RNAcentral's name for it is "long non-coding RNA (VRAD_LNC014835)". Lineage: Eukaryota; Viridiplantae; Streptophyta; Magnoliopsida; Fabales; Fabaceae. The record is from RNAcentral.